GAAGAGAUUGUCAUCAUAGAGCAGACAUGGGAUGUCUGCAGCUAACUUCUCAAGAACGAGCAUCAUGAGGCCCCGGGAAAAUUCAAGCUGAAAGAAACAUGUAAGCAGGAGAGUAUCUCCAGCUCUAUAUCUGUUCCAGGGCAGAUGUGCCCUAAGCGCCAGAGAAAGCGGAAGGCCACAGCAGCUUCCUGACAAAGAAGACCAAGAUUCAGGAAACAAGUUAUCCCUUGUAUUUUUCUUCCCAGAUCAACUUUUACUGGCAAAUUCACUGAAGGGUGCAGAUCUGGUUGUAAACGACUGGGAGCUGAAUGGCAGAAGAGGACUCAGCAUCAAAUAUGCACUUUACCCUGUGCAGAGGCCCAAAAAACGUGGCCUUUUACAAGAAGGAGGAACAUGAGGGAUCUGGAAGCAAGAAGAUGCUUCUGGAGGUUGUGCUCUACUAAAAUGAGGGACUAAACAAAGAAAAAAAGAAGAUAUAGGAUAUAGGAAACAGAAGAUAUAAUGCAGGAGAAAAAUGAUUUGAGAGGCCCUGACAACAAUUCUUCACUAGACAUGGAUUGGUACAGGUCCAGAAGGCCCAGAAGAGACUCCAUUUUCAGAUGAAACUGAUAGAACACCUCAUCCAUCUAAGUCUUGGGAAGCAGAGAUUGAAACAAUCGUUAAAAAGUUUGG
This is a long non-coding RNA of Neofelis nebulosa (Clouded leopard), 672 nucleotides long. RefSeq lists it as uncharacterized. NCBI's taxonomy places the organism in Eukaryota, Metazoa, Chordata, Mammalia, Carnivora, Felidae. The record is from RefSeq and is a predicted model, not a curated record. The transcript is spliced from 5 exons.